GAUCAUGGCUCAGGAUGAACGCUAGCUACAGGCUUAACACAUGCAAGUCGAGGGGAAACGGCAUUGAGUGCUUGCACUGAAUGGACGUCGACCGGCGCACGGGUGAGUAACGCGUAUCCAACCUUCCCAUAACUAAGGGAUAACCUGCCGAAAGGCAGACUAAUACCUUAUGUAAUCCUUUGAUGGCAUCAGAUAAGGAUAAAAGAUUUAUCGGUUAUGGAUGGGGAUGCGU
This 232-nucleotide ribosomal RNA is filed under the name uncultured bacterium. RNAcentral's name for it is "partial 16S ribosomal RNA". It matches the Rfam family "Bacterial small subunit ribosomal RNA", at positions 15 to 236 of the family's 1533-position model. The record is from RNAcentral.